This 414-nucleotide ribosomal RNA is filed under the name uncultured prokaryote. RNAcentral's name for it is "bacterial SSU rRNA". It matches the Rfam family "Bacterial small subunit ribosomal RNA", at positions 505 to 918 of the family's 1533-position model. The record is from RNAcentral.
GUGCCAGCCGCCGCGGUAAUACGUAGGGUGCGAGCGUUGUCCGGAAUUACUGGGUUUAAAGGGUACGUAGGCGGCUUGAUAAGUCUGGUGUGAAAUUUUGUAGCUCAACUAUAAAAGUGCAUUGGAUACUGUCAAGCUAGAGUUAAGUAAAGGCAACUGGAAUUUGAGGUGUAGCGGUGAAAUGCAUAGAUACCUUGAGGAACGUCAAUUGCGAAGGCAGGUUGCUAGGCUUUAACUGACGCUGAUGUACGAAAGCGUGGGUAGCAAACAGGACUAGAUACCCUGGUAGUCCACGCCGUAAACGAUGAUUACUCGGUGUAUGUCUAUUAUAGAGAUGUGUGCCUUAGCGAAAGCGUUAAGUAAUCCACCUGGGGAGUACGUUGGCAACAAUGAAACUCAAAGGAAUUGACGGGG